Molecule: ribosomal RNA, 492 nt
Filed under: uncultured bacterium
Lineage: Bacteria
Description: partial 16S ribosomal RNA
Rfam family: Bacterial small subunit ribosomal RNA
Source: RNAcentral
AGUGAACGCUGGCGGUAGGCCUAACACAUGCAAGUCGAACGGCAGCACAGUAAGAGCUUGCUCUUACGGGUGGCGAGUGGCGGACGGGUGAGGAAUACAUCGGAAUCUACUUUUUCGUGGGGGAUAACGUAGGGAAACUUACGCUAAUACCUCAUACGACCUACGGGUGAAAGCAGGGGAUCUUCGGACCUUGCGCGACUGAAUGAGCCGAUGUCGGAUUAGCUAGUUGGCGGGGUAAAGGCCCACCAAGGCGACGAUCCGUAGCUGGUCUGAGAGGAUGAUCAGCCACACUGGAACUGAGACACGGUCCAGACUCCUACGGGAGGCAGCAGUGGGGAAUAUUGGACAAUGGGCGAAAGCCUGAUCCAGCCAUACCGCGUGAGUGAAGAAGGCCUUCGGGUUGUAAAGCCCUUUUGUUGGGAAAGAAAAGCAGCAGAUUAAUACCCCGCUGUUCUGACGGUACCCAAAGAAUAAGCACCGGCUAACUUCGUG